This 291-nucleotide unclassified non-coding RNA is filed under the name uncultured Coprinopsis. RNAcentral's name for it is "sequence contains ITS2". The stretch from base 1 to 52 matches the Rfam family "5.8S ribosomal RNA", at positions 103 to 154 of the family's 154-position model. The record is from RNAcentral. Lineage: Eukaryota; Fungi; Basidiomycota; Agaricomycetes; Agaricales; Psathyrellaceae.
AACGCACCUUGCGCUCCUUGGUAUUCCGAGGAGCAUGCCUGUUUGAGUGUCAUUAAAUUCUCAACCUCACCAACUUUGUUGUGUGAAGGCUUGGAUGUGGGGGUUUGCAGGUCCGCACUCGUGUGGUCUGCUCCUCUAAAACGUAUUAGUGGGUUAGUCCCCUAAUCUAUUGGUGUGAUAAUUAUCUACGCCGUGGAUUUGGAAGGCUAUCAUAGACCUGCUUCUAACCGUCCUCUGGACAACUUUGACAAUUUUGACCUCAAAUCAGGUAAGACUACCCGCUGAACUUAA